UCCUACGGGAGGCAGCAGUGGGGAAUAUUGGGCAAUGGGCGCAAGCCUGACCCAGCAACGCCGCGUGAAGGAAGAAGGCUUUCGGGUUGUAAACUUCUUUUCUCAGGGACGAAGCAAGUGACGGUACCUGAGGAAUAAGCCACGGCUAACUACGUGCCAGCAGCCGCGGUAAUACGUAGGUGGCAAGCGUUAUCCGGAUUUACUGGGUGUAAAGGGCGUGUAGGCGGGAAAGCAAGUCAGAUGUGAAAACUCAGGGCUCAACCCUGAGCCUGCAUUUGAAACUGUGUUUCUUGAGUGCUGGAGAG
RNAcentral lists this ribosomal RNA (305 nucleotides) under uncultured bacterium. Its description in RNAcentral is "bacterial SSU rRNA". It matches the Rfam family "Bacterial small subunit ribosomal RNA", at positions 337 to 656 of the family's 1533-position model. The record is from RNAcentral.